GAGGCCUUAGCGGUGCUAUACAUGCAGUCGAGCGGACAGAAGGGAGCUUGCUCCCGGACGUUAGCGGCGGACGGGUGAGUAACACGUAGGUAACCUGCCCCUUAGACUGGGAUAACUCCGGGAAACCGGAGCUAAUACGGGAUAAUAAAGAGAAUCACCUGAUUUUCUUUUGAAAGACGGUUUCGGCUGUCACUAAGGGAUGGGCCUGCGGCGCAUUAGCUAGUUGGUAAGGUAACGGCUUACCAAGGCGACGAUGCGUAGCCGACCUGAGAGGGUGAUCGGCCACACUGGGACUGAGACACGGCCCAGACUCCUACGGGAGGCAGCAGUAGGGAAUCUUCCGCAAUGGACGAAAGUCUGACGGAGCAACGCCGCGUGAGUGAGGAAGGCCUUCGGGUCGUAAAGCUCUGUUGUGAGGGAAGAACAAGUACCGGGGUAACUACCGGUACCUUGACGGUACCUCACCAGAAAGCCACGGCUAACUACGUGCCAGCAGCCGCGGUAAUACGUAGGUGGCAAGCGUUGUCCGGAAUUAUUGGGCGUAAAGCGCGCGCAGGCGGCUUCUUAAGUCUGAUGUGAAAUCUCGGGGCUCAACCCCGAGCGGCCAUUGGAAACUGGGGAGCUUGAGUGCAGAAGAGGAGAGUGGAAUUCCACGUGUAGCGGUGAAAUGCGUAGAUAUGUGGAGGAACACCAGUGGCGAAUGCGACUCUCUGGUCUGUAACUGACGCUGAGGCGCGAAAGCGUGGGGAGCAAACAGGAUUAGAUACCCUGGUAGUCCACGCCGUAAACGAUGAGUGCUAGUGUUAGGGGUUUCGAUGCCCGUAGUGCCGAAGUAAACACAUUUAGCACUCCGCCUGGGGAGUACGGCCGCAAGGCUGAACUCAAAGGAUUGACGGGGUCCCCGCACAAGCAUUGGAGCAUGUGGUUUAUUCGGAGCAACGCGAGAACCUUACCAGCCUUGACCAUCCUUUGACACUCUGGAGAAGAGCUUCCCCUCGGGAGCAAGGUCGUGUGCAUGUUGUCUUCACCUCUGUCCGGGAAAUGUGGUUAAGUCCGCAACGAACGCACCCCCUUG
This is a ribosomal RNA of 1075 nucleotides. It matches the Rfam family "Bacterial small subunit ribosomal RNA", at positions 31 to 1108 of the family's 1533-position model.